This 535-nucleotide long non-coding RNA is filed under the name Elaeis guineensis (African oil palm). Its description in RNAcentral is "long non-coding RNA (EGUI_LNC001352)". Lineage: Eukaryota; Viridiplantae; Streptophyta; Magnoliopsida; Arecales; Arecaceae. The record is from RNAcentral.
UUCGUCGACCAGAACAUCUCGGUGCAUUCGGUAUUAUAUCCCUCAUCUCUCCUCUCUUUCCUUUACCUUCUCUCUUCUCGUUCUUCCCAUGGUUCGUCUAGGGUUUUCAACGAAUGCGGAGGGUUUCUGUCCGAGGGUUUCGGUUCUUGUUUCACUUUUCCGAGUUUAAUUGUUUCUUGCUCCAAUGAGGGAGGGUUUUAGUUUAUGGGUUGGUUCUUCUAUUUCUUGAUUCGUAUUAUCGUUGUCUUUUUUAUUUGUUUUAGUUUAAAAAAGCUGAAACUAAGGGAAGUAACGCAAGCUUGGUCACUUGACCGAAUAGAUAAUGAAGGAGAACCUUGGUGCAGUGCCGGUGGACACGACGGUGAUUUGGACCACGUUUGGUUUUCGUUUUUCAUGUUUAUUUUUAAUUUUCACAAUGCUACCGAAAACAUGGUGCAGUUUUGCUUUCUUUAACCACAUAUAAAUGAAAUUUUUAACCAAAAAUAGGGCAGUAUGUGAUGGUAGGGUGGACCUUGUCGAUGUUGAUGAGAGGACU